UGCUCUUCUUUCUCUUCAAACCGUAUAAAUCUUUUGCCUUUUACUAAAGAUUUCCGUGGAGAGAAAGUCAAAGAGUUUACUUGAAUUUUUUGAUGCUUUACUCUUUAGUAAGGCU
This is a small nuclear RNA of Thalassophryne amazonica, 115 nucleotides long. RefSeq annotates it as U5 spliceosomal RNA. NCBI's taxonomy places the organism in Eukaryota, Metazoa, Chordata, Actinopteri, Batrachoidiformes, Batrachoididae. The transcript has a single exon. The record is from RefSeq and is a predicted model, not a curated record.